GUUUAAACCAAACAGGUUUUAUUCCAAUGCGCGAACAGCCGCUCCCUUGAUAAAAUGGCGUCGUCUUAUUUUCGCUGCCUUGUUCCUUUUCGAGCUGCAGGACUUGAGAAGUGGACCUGUCACCAGUGCCUUGUAGAUGAAAUUCGUGAUUUUCAAAUUCAACCGGGCGAGAGCUUUUUCCCUCUUUCAAGCUCCGCAACGCAUCUGUGAGAGAGAGAGCUGGGGAUGGGGGUGAAGAAUUUAUGGGAUAUCAUAGAAUCAUGCAAGAAUACUCUGCCACUUCACCAUCUCCAGUAACCACUUCCUCUUCCCUUGUUUGCAGACACAACUUCGUUUCUCCUGCCUUACUAUUUUCUUUCUUUUUUAUUUACUAACAAAAGGAUAUGUAUAGAUCUCUCUUGUUGGAUGGUUCAACUUCAA
This 420-nucleotide unclassified non-coding RNA is filed under the name Hevea brasiliensis (rubber tree). Lineage: Eukaryota; Viridiplantae; Streptophyta; Magnoliopsida; Malpighiales; Euphorbiaceae. The record is from RNAcentral.